CCUACGGGAGGCUGCAGUGGGGGAUAUUGCACAAUGGGGGAAACCCUGAUGCAGCGACGCCGCGUGAGUGAAGAAGUUUUUCGGUAUGUAAAGCUCUAUCAGCAGGGAAGAAAAUGACAGUACCUGACCAAUACGCCCCGGCUCACUACGUGCCAGCAGCCGCGGUAAUACGUAGGGGGCAAGCGUUAUCCGGAUUUACUGGGGGGAAAGGGAGCGUAGACGGUUAAGUAAGUCUGGAUGGAAAGCCCGGGGCCUAACCCCGGGACUGCUUUGGAAACUGUGUAACUGGAGUACAGGAGGGGCAGGCGGAAUUCCUGGGGUAGCGGUGAAAUGCGUAGAGAUCAGGAGGAACACCGGCGGCGAAGGCGGCCUGCUGGACUGAAACUGACGUUGAGGCUCGAAAGUGUGGGUAUCGAACAGGAUUAGAUACCCUUGUAGUC
This 440-nucleotide ribosomal RNA is filed under the name uncultured bacterium. RNAcentral describes it as "partial 16S ribosomal RNA". It matches the Rfam family "Bacterial small subunit ribosomal RNA", at positions 338 to 795 of the family's 1533-position model. The record is from RNAcentral.